AGAGUUUGAUCAUGGCUCAGAUUGAACGCUGGCGGCAUGCUUUACACAUGCAAGUCGAACGGCAGCACGGGGGCAACCCUGGUGGCGAGUGGCGAACGGGUGAGUAAUAUAUCGGAACAUAUCCGGAAGUGGGGGAUAGCUCGGCGAAAGCCGGAUUAAUACCGCAUAUGCCCUGAGGGGGAAAGGAGGGGAUUCGCAAGAACCUUUCGCUUUCGGAGUGGCCGAUAUCGGAUUAGCUAGUUGGUGAGGUAAAGGCUUACCAAGGCGACGAUCCGUAGCUGGUCUGAGAGGACGACCAGCCACACUGGAACUGAGACACGGUCCAGACUCCUACGGGAGGCAGCAGUGGGGAAUUUUGGACAAUGGGGGAAACCCUGAUCCAGCCAUGCCGCGUGAGUGAAGAAGGCCUUCGGGUUGUAAAGCUCUUUCAGACGGAAAGAAACGGUUACGGCCAAUACCCGUGACUAAUGACGGUACCUGCAGAAGAAGCACCGGCUAACUACGUGCCAGCAGCCGCGGUAAUACGUAGGGUGCGAGCGUUAAUCGGAAUUACUGGGCGUAAAGCGUGCGCAGGCGGUUUUGUAAGUCAGAUGUGAAAGCCCCGGGCUCAACCUGGGAAUUGCGUUUGAAACUACAAGACUAGAGUGUGUCAGAGGGGGGUAGAAUUCCACGUGUAGCAGUGAAAUGCGUAGAGAUGUGGAGGAAUACCGAUGGCGAAGGCAGCCCCCUGGGAUAACACUGACGCUCAUGCACGAAAGCGUGGGGAGCAAACAGGAUUAGAUACCCUAGUAGUCC
Molecule: ribosomal RNA, 795 nt
Filed under: uncultured bacterium
Lineage: Bacteria
Description: bacterial SSU rRNA
Rfam family: Bacterial small subunit ribosomal RNA
Source: RNAcentral